GGGAGAGCCGGGCUGGGGGAGAGCCGGGUUAGUGACUGACAUGUCUACCGACCACAUAUGAGACAAAGUGGGUGGGGUACAGCUCUCUCCUGUCUUCUCUUCUUCGAGUUCACUUCAACUCGGUCAUUAAUUUUACAUUUGCGUACUGACUUUACAGGUAUUUGUCCACCUGUAUGGUGUGCAUUGUCUCCCCCUAAUGGACAACUAGGGGAGUAUCUUAGGAAGGCUAUGUGACUGAUAAGCAGCGUGUCUAAUUCUAUGAUCUAUUAGAUAGAUGAUUUGUCUUCUGUCGUUUGAGAAAUUAUGUGUGCCACAUUUUAAACAAACAAACAAAAAAAGCUCUGGUCUUAAAAAACGUUAAAUAGUAAAUUGCUAAGUAUACAGUGGAUAUUGAAGGUCUACACAGCCUUGCUGAGAGUGCAAGGUUUCGUGAUGUAAAAAAGAAAUUAAGUUGAGAUAAACAGUGCCUCGUAAUUGAGCUUUUUUCCCCCCCCUCGUUUAAGAUCAUAUCACACAUAUAUAAGAUCUUACCAGAAGAACGAAAGGAUGACGGUUUGGACAUUAAGGAAAAAUGGGAAAUGGAGAUGAAUACCAUCAUUCCAGAUGAAAAAAGACCACUAUCUUGCGGAGAGGGACACAAAAUAACAAACAGCCCGAUUUGGAGGGAAUUUGAAUGGAAAUUCAAGAUGAGAUUUUUCAGAACUCGCCUUAUUACCUUAAAAUUUGGGGACAGAUCAGAUCAAUGUUGGAGGGGCUGCGACCUGGUGGGAGACCAUACACACAUAUUCUGGGACUUCCAAAAUUAACAGAAUAUUGGCAAAGCACACAAAAUGAAAUUUAAAAAUGUUUACAUAUAGAACUGCCUUUAGAACCAUCUUGGUAUUUAUUGGGAUUACUUCCAGAGGAGGUGGAGAACAAUAAUAUGAUAUUCUUACUGAGAGUCUUACUCUUAAUAGCUAAGAAGAUGAUUACGGUCUCCUGGCUGAAGCCGCAACCCCCCACGAUAUCACAAUGGAGGGAAAGGGUGAAGGAGGUUUAUUACAUGGAAAAUACAGCUGCAAAAUUACAACUAAAAACAGAAAUAUUUUCAAUUAAAUGGUCCGCGAUCAUCUCAGAUUUUCUCAUGUGAUUUGUUGUAGGAGUCAGAGUAGAUUUUCUUUGUUAUUUAAAUCUGAAUGCCAUCUUGAUGUUAUUCACGCAUUACUAUUAUUUAUUCAUUAUUACCGUGCCUCUAUUUUUUUUUCUUUUUUGAUUGAUUUAUUUAUUUUGAUCUAUUUACUGUAUUGGUGGUUGUAACCCCUUACUUACCAUUUUGUCCCAUGAGGGGGAAAUAUGUGUGGACACUGAGAGGAUAUUGGAAACCAUGGACUGUCCUGUAAGACAUGUAUAACUGUGCUGUAUCACUGAAUUACUAAUUGUACUGUACGGCUGCACUUGAUAAAAUGGAAUAAAAAGAAGUUUAAAAAAAAAAAGAAAGAAACUUAAUAAUACAAUAAACUGGAUGCAUACGUGUAUACACGGCUUAGCUAACACUUUAUUAAA
Molecule: long non-coding RNA, 1542 nt
Organism: Ictalurus punctatus (channel catfish)
Lineage: Eukaryota; Metazoa; Chordata; Actinopteri; Siluriformes; Ictaluridae
Exons: 2
Source: RefSeq, a predicted model, not a curated record